RNAcentral lists this transfer RNA (69 nucleotides) under Laterallus melanophaius (rufous-sided crake). RNAcentral describes it as "tRNA-Val". Lineage: Eukaryota; Metazoa; Chordata; Aves; Gruiformes; Rallidae. The record is from RNAcentral.
CAAGACGUAGCUAUAACACAAAGCAUUCAGCUUACGCCUGAAAGAUGCCUAUCGCCAAGGCCGCCUUGA